UAUGUAGGGCGCGAGCGUUAUCCGGAAUUAUUGGGCGUAAAGAGCUCGUAGGCGGUUUGUCGCGUCUGCCGUGAAAGUCCGGGGCUCAACUCCGGAUCUGCGGUGGGUACGGGCAGACUAGAGUGAUGUAGGGGAGACUGGAAUUCCUGGUGUAGCGGUGAAAUGCGCAGAUAUCAGGAGGAACACCGAUGGCGAAGGCAGGUCUCUGGGCAUUAACUGACGCUGAGGAGCGAAAGCAUGGGGAGCGAACAGG
This 253-nucleotide ribosomal RNA is filed under the name uncultured bacterium. Its description in RNAcentral is "partial 16S ribosomal RNA". It matches the Rfam family "Bacterial small subunit ribosomal RNA", at positions 524 to 776 of the family's 1533-position model. The record is from RNAcentral.